ACGGGAGGCAGCAGUGGGGAAUAUUGGGCAAUGGGGGAAACCCUGACCCAGCAACGCCGCGUGAAGGAAGAAGGCUUUCGGGUUGUAAACUUCUUUUAACAGGGAAGAUAAUGACGGUACCUGAUGAAUAAGCCACGGCUAACUACGUGCCAGCAGCCGCGGUAAUACGUAGGUGGCAAGCGUUAUCCGGAUUUACUGGGUGUAAAGGGCGCGUAGGCGGGAGUGCAAGUCAGAUGUGAAAUCCAUGGGCUUAACCCAUGAACUGCAUUUGAAACUGUGCUUCUUGAGUGUCGGAGAGGUAGAUGGAAUUCCUAGUGUAGCGGUGAAAUGCGUAGAUAUUAGGAAGAACACCAGUGGCGAAGGCGAUCUACUGGACGAUAACUGACGCUGAGGCGCGAAAGCGUGGGGAGCAAACAGGAUUAGAUACCCUGGUA
Molecule: ribosomal RNA, 434 nt
Filed under: uncultured Oscillospiraceae bacterium
Lineage: Bacteria; Bacillati; Bacillota; Clostridia; Eubacteriales; Oscillospiraceae
Description: partial 16S ribosomal RNA
Rfam family: Bacterial small subunit ribosomal RNA
Source: RNAcentral